RNAcentral lists this ribosomal RNA (253 nucleotides) under uncultured bacterium. Its description in RNAcentral is "partial 16S ribosomal RNA". It matches the Rfam family "Bacterial small subunit ribosomal RNA", at positions 524 to 776 of the family's 1533-position model. The record is from RNAcentral.
UACAGAGGGUGCAAGCGUUAAUCGGAAUUACUGGGCGUAAAGCGCACGUAGGCGGUUGGUUAAGUUGGAUGUGAAAGCCCCGGGCUCAACCUGGGAAUUGCAUUCAAAACUGGCCAACUAGAGUAUGUGAGAGGGGGGUAGAAUUCCAAGUGUAGCGGUGAAAUGCGUAGAGAUUUGGAGGAAUACCAGUGGCGAAGGCGGCCGCCUGGCACACUACUGACGCUGAGGUGCGAAAGCGUGGGGAGCAAACAGG